UUUGGUAUCGCACAAUGGGUAA
This 22-nucleotide microRNA is filed under the name Ciona intestinalis (vase tunicate). RNAcentral describes it as "cin-miR-5602-5p". Lineage: Eukaryota; Metazoa; Chordata; Ascidiacea; Phlebobranchia; Cionidae. The record is from miRBase by way of RNAcentral.